Long non-coding RNA from Ahaetulla prasina, 362 nucleotides. RefSeq lists it as uncharacterized. NCBI's taxonomy places the organism in Eukaryota, Metazoa, Chordata, Lepidosauria, Squamata, Colubridae. The transcript has 3 exons. The record is from RefSeq and is a predicted model, not a curated record.
ACCCAGCAGCUAGGUACAUAAGCCAUCUGAAAUUCUCCAGGACAUCUGAAGGAGAAGAGCUCUAGAAAAGUGAAGACAAUCUUUCUGAGUGCUGUAAUCAACAAGCCGACAAGAUGUGUAGCAUGGAUUGUGUUGCCAAUGCCGUAAGGACGGUCUUCAGGACCAUAAAAAGGGUAUUUGAAAAGACCAAAGAAGUGAUUGAGCAUCCUUUUGAAGAACCCAAACCAGGACCUGACAAAACAGAUUGAGGUCAUGAUGGACUUCACCAUCCUUGAUAUGCAGAGAUCUUCUAUAUUGUUAAAUAAUUCCAUGUAAUAUUGGGUCAAAAUUCCCAAAAAGAAUAAAAGUCAUGUUGACCUGAA